This is a non-coding RNA of Pelobates cultripes (western spadefoot toad), 238 nucleotides long. NCBI's taxonomy places the organism in Eukaryota, Metazoa, Chordata, Amphibia, Anura, Pelobatidae. The record is from the annotation of a GenBank genome assembly.
AUCUGUGGUCUAGGAGGCACAGUCCUUAACUGGUUUAAGUCUUUCCUCACAGAUAGAUCACAGAGAGUAACAUCAGGAUCAAGCUCAUCGGCACCAACAUAACUGGCCUGCGGAAUUCCACAAGGAUCCAUCUCGUCUCCCCUGCUAUUCGCAAUUUACUUGCUACUGUAACCGCGGCUUGUUCCCUUACUUACCACUAUAAUGUCUUAAAGCACAGAACUUAGUAGGGCUAACCAUA